Molecule: ribosomal RNA, 441 nt
Filed under: uncultured bacterium
Lineage: Bacteria
Description: partial 16S ribosomal RNA
Rfam family: Bacterial small subunit ribosomal RNA
Source: RNAcentral
CCUACGGGAGGCAGCAGUGGGGAAUAUUGCACAAUGGGGGAAACCCUGAUGCAGCAACGCCGCGUGGGUGAAGGAGCGUUUCUGCGCGUAAAGCCCUGUCAGCGGGGAAGAAGAAAGACGGUACCCGACCAAGCAGCCCCGGCUAACUACGUGCCAGCAGCCGCGGUAAUACGUAGGGGGCGAGCGUUAUCCGGAAUUACUGGGUGUAAGGGGAGCGUAGACGGCGAGGUAAGCCUGAAGUGGAAGCCCGGGGCCCAACCGCGGAACUGCUUUGGGAACUGUUUUGCUGGAGUAUGGGAGGGGUAAGCGGAAUGCCUGGUGUAGCGGUGAAAUGCGUAGAUAUCAGGAGGAACACCGGUGGCGAAGGCGGCUUACUGGACCAUAACUGACGUUGAGGCUCGAAAGCGUGGGGAGCGAACAGGAUUAGAUACCCCAGUAGUC